AUUGAACGCUGGCGGAAUGCUUUACACAUGCAAGUCGAACGGCAGCACGGACUUCGGCCUGGUGGCGAGUGGCGAACGGGUGAGUAAUGUAUCGGAACGUGCCCAGUCGUGGGGGAUAACGUAGUGAAAAUUACGCUAAUACCGCAUACGAUCUAUGGAUGAAAGCGGGGGAUCGCAAGACCUCGCGCGAUUGGAGCGGCCGAUAUCAGAUUAGGUAGUUGGUGGGGUAAAGGCCCACCAAGCCAACGAUCUGUAGCUGGUCUGAGAGGACGACCAGCCACAAUGGAACUGAGACACGGUCCAGACUCCUACGGGAGGCAGCAGUGGGGAAUUUUGGACAAUGGGCGAAAGCCUGAUCCAGCCAUUCCGCGUGCAGGAUGAAGGCCCUCGGGUUGUAAACUGCUUUUGUACAGAACGAAAAGGUUUCUACUAAUACUAGGAGCUCAUGACGGUACUGUAAGAAUAAGCACCGGCUAACUACGUGCCAGCAGCCGCAGUAA
Molecule: ribosomal RNA, 500 nt
Filed under: uncultured bacterium
Lineage: Bacteria
Description: partial 16S ribosomal RNA
Rfam family: Bacterial small subunit ribosomal RNA
Source: RNAcentral